UAUACAUGCAGCUGAGCACUGUACGCCCCCUGCACACACACACCCCAAGCCACACAUACUCGGACCCUCGCCCAUGCGGACAAGCACCGGAGGCAUUUGGUGGCGCUCACUCAUUGAGCACCUCUCUAUUGCAGCUCUCACAGAUGAGCGGCAUAAUCACUCCGCUCUCCGGGGGCCACGAGCUCAGAAACAUCCUAAUGAAAAAUAAAUGUAUUUACAGGGAGACGUCAAAGCCGCCAGGACCAGUCAAAGUAAUAUGCCUGCGACCGGCACAUGGACUUUUAUUUCUUCUCCCUCCACGCUCCAGAGCUGCUCCUGCGGCGUGGAGAGAUAAAUAUUUUAAAUAGCGACACUUUGGCGAUGCACGGUUAUGCAAGACAAGGAAUAAUUAGAAAAUAAAUUACUUUUUUUAAACACAGCGUUACAAACAUCGGGUGCAUCAGAUUACUGUUCUCUGCAGGCCAGGGCCACACGGCUCAGGGAGGCCAGCGCAACAAGGACCUCAGGGAGCAAGCACACACCAGCCUGUCCCCACAGCCCCCAGAUGGUGACACCCCUCCCGCCUGCUCUGGGAGGCUCCCAGAAUCGAGCUGAAGACCACACUUGGCAGCUUCCAGAAGAUCUCGGCGAUGGAAAGGCUUCCUCCGGCGUCUCACCAGCAGUAGCGCAGACUAAAAAUAGUUUAAUCUCCUUGAAAGCAAAAGGAGCAAUCAGCAAAACAGACACUUGGGCCCACAUCCUCCCCCCAUUCCUCUCCUCGUUCUGCCCCCAUCCAUCCAAGCUGUCCCCAGCUAUGCAUCGUCAACUUCUACCCAUCCCAGGAUAGUGCCCCACAGCCUCUGAGGAGGGCAGCUAUUGCCCAUCGUCCAGGACUCCUCAUGCCUGCAGCCCUACAUAUACACAGCAUGUGUCCUUUAAACCUUGUGACACCCCAGAAGGGAGGCAAGACAGGAAAUGUUAGCCCUGCUUCACAGAUGAAGAAACUGAGGCAUAGAGAAGUGGAGUCAUUUGCCUGAGGCUAGCAAUGGUAGACAAGGGCUGUGUGCAAAUGGAGUGGCUCAGCCUCUGCAGAAAGGAGUCCACCCUCCUACUCCCUCAGCUUCAGGAGAAGAAGCUCAAUCUCAAUAGGUGAUGAUGGGGACUGAG
This 1146-nucleotide long non-coding RNA is filed under the name Pan troglodytes (chimpanzee). Its description in RNAcentral is "long non-coding RNA NONPTRT011400". The record is from RNAcentral. Lineage: Eukaryota; Metazoa; Chordata; Mammalia; Primates; Hominidae.